AAGAAUGGGACGAGUUUACUCUCAGUAUCGCGACGACCCUCGGCGGGUUAGGAGUCUCGAAUUUGGUGGUGUUAUUCUGUGCAUGUUGAGAAACAGAAAACUUACAGUAGACGAAAGGCAAGCCGUGUGAAAUAUGAGAAGGUCUCUUCAAAGAUGUCGGUGACCAAUCUGAGAGCGUAACCAGCCAUAUUCAUCAAAAUACGUGCAUUAUUGCAUUAUUGUUUUUUCAAUCCUGAAAGUCCAGAAAAGCUUAUGAAGAGGGAUCCGUGUGAAACGAAUCUUAUAAAAAAUCAAUCGGAAAAGUGUUUCUGUAAUACGUGUUGUUGAGCGUUUUCUCACCUCUGCGCAAAUGUAAUUUGCAAUACAAUUUCAUGUCCAACCAUGUGUAAUAUAUAUGUGUAAAAAGUGUUUCAUAUACUUCCCAUUUCCCGAUACCUCUCCGCGUCAACUAGGAUCGAAGAGAAAUCUAAUCUGAGGAGAAGUGUUAUAGCUAGAGAAGAACAAGACAAUUGUGAAGCUGUAACAUUUAUUAUCGGAAAGAAUAUACUUUUGAGUUACGCGAAUGUAUAUGCGCGCCAUAUUGAUGGCGCUGCAGUUCCUUCUCUUGUUCCCUGCAAUUGAUGGCGUGAUUUUGACAUGAACGUACAAAUGAUUAAUCACAGAUACGUGUAUGUAACAAUAGUAACGCCGUUCUAGUACGCCUUUUCCGAUAUUGCUGUCUAUUUGUUUGCUUUUUGGUCUGUUGCGGUGGUCUGAUGAUUGUGUGAUUUGUCUACGAACGUGAUUAAUCCCAGGUAAUUCUUUUUCGAAAAUGUAUCAGCUAUAAAAGAUUUUACAAAACAUUUCAGCCUGCUAUUUAUCAUAAUUUUCAUUCUUGCUUGAUAAUUCGUGAUAAAAUAAAAUAUAUUAUUCUUGCAAUGUAAUCUCAAAGUCUAUCUUAUCAAGCAUGUGAGCUAAAUAAUAUAAAAUAUAUUUUACAGAUACUCCGAAAGUCCAAUUUCUUUCAUUUGCUUUCUGGCCUGUUGAUUUCAAUUUUAGUUCUUGCAAUUUGACAUUUUGCAACAUAAUGUUAAACACUUUGAUUGUUUUGAAUAUUGAAACACUUGAAAAGGACCAAAUACUGUUAGUUGAAACGUUGUGUCACUAAUUAAUAAAAGUUGUGCCAGUUUGGUCGAAAAAUUAUUGAAAUUAUUUAUUUAAACAUCCAUUGGCGAAGAAAUUAGAGUUAUUCAAUACUACUUAAUUUGACUAAAUCCACAAGACAUGAAACAUUAUGGACUUUAAAUAAUUUUGAAUCCUCUUGAGUUUGCUAAAUGACCAUUCUGCAGAAGCUACUGUUGCAGAAAUUGUUAAUAAUAUUCUUAAGCUAACACAAAUAUUUGGAAUCAGGUCAUCUGGUUUGUACUCUAUCUAAAGUUCUAUUAGAUAAGCCAUGAACUGUUGCAAUAACGUGUAAUAACGAUAAUUUAAUUUUUCUUCUUAUUCAUAUUAUAUAUCCUUGUAUAUUUAUUGAGAUGAUUGUGUGACUUCUCUACAAUCGUGAUCACUCUCAGAACAAGACAACAAAAUAAUGAAUAGAAAGCGACCAAGAAAGGACAUUUUAUAUAUAUCAAAGAGACACUGCAAUCGAUUAGCUGCGCAAGAAUCAGAACUUGUGUGAUACGAAAAUCACAUGUGGAUGCAACGGAUGAGCAAAUUUCAGCCCCGAUCAAAAUAUGGCUAGUUCAUGCCAAAGAGCGUAUAGAAAAACAACACCGCAACACAGAUGAAACAUCUUAAUUAUGUUUUCUUAAUUAUGUUAUACAUGUGACAUAUAUUUUAUAUUCUCUCCUCUUUAAUAUUAAUAUUAUAUUAAUUUAUUUAAUAGGAAGAUACAAUGUA
RNAcentral lists this unclassified non-coding RNA (1881 nucleotides) under Ooceraea biroi (clonal raider ant). RNAcentral's name for it is "uncharacterized LOC105279061, transcript variant X1". Lineage: Eukaryota; Metazoa; Arthropoda; Insecta; Hymenoptera; Formicidae. The record is from RNAcentral.